AGGACGAACGCUGGCGGCGUGCUUAACACAUGCAAGUCGAGCGGAAAGGCCCUUCGGGGUACUCGAGCGGCGAACGGGUGAGUAACACGUGAGCAACCUGCCCUUAGCUCCGGGAUAGCUCCGGGAAACCGGAAUUAAUACCGGAUAUGACCUAGGCCGACAUCGGCUGUGGGUGGAAAGUUUUUCGGCUGGGGAUGGACUCGCGGCCUAUCAGCUUGUUGGUGGGGUAAUGGCCUACCAAGGCGACGACGGGUAGCCGGCCUGAGAGGGCGACCGGCCACACUGGGACUGAGACACGGCCCAGACUCCUACGGGAGGCAGCAGUGGGAAUCUUGCGCAAUGGGCGAAAGCCUGACGCAGCGACGCCGCGUGGGGGAUGAAGGCCUUCGGGUUGUAAACCCCUUUCAGCAGGGACGAAGCGAAAGUGACGGUACCUGCAGAAGAAGCGCCGGCUAACUACGUGCCAGCAGCCGC
Molecule: ribosomal RNA, 474 nt
Filed under: uncultured bacterium
Lineage: Bacteria
Description: SSU rRNA
Rfam family: Bacterial small subunit ribosomal RNA
Source: RNAcentral